This 468-nucleotide ribosomal RNA is filed under the name uncultured bacterium. RNAcentral describes it as "partial 16S ribosomal RNA". It matches the Rfam family "Bacterial small subunit ribosomal RNA", at positions 28 to 507 of the family's 1533-position model. The record is from RNAcentral.
GACGAACGCUGGCGGCGUGCUUAACACAUGCAAGUCGAACGGAAAGGCCCUGCUUUUGUGGGGUGCUCGAGUGGCGAACGGGUGGGUAACACGUGAGUAACCUGCCCUUGACUUUGGGAUAACUUCAGGAAACUGGGGCUAAUACCGGAUAGGAGCUCCUGCUGCAUGGUGGGGGUUGGAAAGUUUCGGCGGUUGGGGAUGGACUCGCGGCUUAUCAGCUUGUUGGUGGGGUAGUGGCUUACCAAGGCUUUGACGGGUAGCCGGCCUGAGAGGGUGACCGGGCACAUUGGGACUGAGAGACGGCCCAGACGCCUACGGGAGGCAGUGGCGGGGAAUAUUGCACAAUGGGCGGAAGCCUGAUACAGCAACGCCGCGUGCGGGAUGACGGCCUUCGGGUUGUAAACCGCUGUCGCCGGUGACGAAGCGUGAGUGACGGUAAUGGGUAAAGAAGCACCGGCUAACUACGUG